GAUGAAGAAAGUAGCGAAAUGCGAUACUUGGUGUGAAUUGCAGAAUCCCGUGAACCAUCGAGUCUUUGAACGCAAGUUGCGCCCGAAGCCAUUAGGCCGAGGGCACGCCUGCCUGGGUGUCACACGUCGUUGCCCCCCCAUCUACUCCUUCGGGAUUGCGGGGGGCGGAUGAUGGCCUCCCGUGCGCCUCGUCGCGCGGUUGGCAUAAUUGCCAAGUCCUCGGCGACGCACGCCACGACAAUCGGUGGUUGCGAAACCUCGGUUGCCCGUCGUGUGCGGUCGUCGCGCAUCGAGGGCUCGAAAAAAUUGCCGGGCUCCGGCUCGGCUUUCAACGCGACCCCAGGUCAGGCGGGGUUACCCGCUGAAUUUAAGCAUAUCAAUAAGCGGAGGA
RNAcentral lists this unclassified non-coding RNA (391 nucleotides) under soil metagenome. RNAcentral describes it as "partial contains 5.8S ribosomal RNA, internal transcribed spacer 2, and large subunit ribosomal RNA". The stretch from base 1 to 122 matches the Rfam family "5.8S ribosomal RNA", at positions 35 to 154 of the family's 154-position model. The record is from RNAcentral.